UAACCGUAGGUGAACCUGCGGUUGGAUCAUUAACAAUUUUCACAGGAGCUGUCUUCGGAUGGCAUCUGUGCAAAAACAAUUCACAUUUUGUGCACUGUAUGUCUCUGGCGGCCGGACCAAAGCAAGCACCUACUGGAUGUGAUGCUUUGUUCUGUCAGCUUGGUCCACUUGUGGGCUAGGCCGUGGACAAACCGCCAACCACUUUUCUUUAACUCAUUAUUCAUUCUUCUGUCUAACAUAUAUUGUCGUAUUGAAAAUACAAAAAAACUUUUGGCAACGGAUCUCUUGGCUCUC
RNAcentral lists this unclassified non-coding RNA (294 nucleotides) under soil metagenome. RNAcentral describes it as "partial contains small subunit ribosomal RNA, internal transcribed spacer 1, and 5.8S ribosomal RNA". The record is from RNAcentral.